This 302-nucleotide ribosomal RNA is filed under the name uncultured bacterium. Its description in RNAcentral is "partial 16S ribosomal RNA". It matches the Rfam family "Bacterial small subunit ribosomal RNA", at positions 508 to 807 of the family's 1533-position model. The record is from RNAcentral.
GCAGUCGCCGCGGGAAUACGAAGGGGGCUAGCGUAGUUCGGAUUUACUGGGCGUAAAGCGCACGUAGGCGGAUCGAUCAGUCAGGGGUGAAAUCCCAGAGCUCAACUCUGGAACUGCCUUUGAUACUGUCGAUCUGGAGUAUGGAAGAGGUGAGUGGAAUUCCGAGUGUAGAGGUGAAAUUCGUAGAUAUUCGGAGGAACACCAGUGGCGAAGGCGGCUCACUGGUCCAUUACUGACGCUGAGGUGCGAAAGCGUGGGGAGCAAACAGGAUUAGAUACCCCCGUAGUCCCUGUCUCUUAUAC